This 502-nucleotide ribosomal RNA is filed under the name uncultured Alphaproteobacteria bacterium. RNAcentral describes it as "bacterial SSU rRNA". It matches the Rfam family "Bacterial small subunit ribosomal RNA", at positions 338 to 859 of the family's 1533-position model. The record is from RNAcentral. Lineage: Bacteria; Pseudomonadati; Pseudomonadota; Alphaproteobacteria.
CCUACGGGAGGCAGCAGUAGGAAUCUUGGACAAUGGGGGAAACCCUGAUCCAGCCAUGCCGCGUGAGUGAAGAAGGCCUUAGGGUCGUAAAGCUCUUUCGCCUGUGAUGAUAAUGACAGUAGCAGGUAAAGAAACCCCGGCUAACUCCGUGCCAGCAGCCGCGGUAAUACGGAGGGGGUUAGCGUUGUUCGGAAUUACUGGGCGUAAAGCGCGCGUAGGCGGAUUGGAAAGUUGGGGGUGAAAUCCCGGGGCUCAACCCCGGAACUGCCUCCAAAACUGCCAGUCUAGAGUUCGAGAGAGGUGAGUGGAACUCCAAGUGUAGAGGUGAAAUUCGUAGAUAUUUGGAAGAACACCAGUGGCGAAGGCGGCUCACUGGCUCGAUACUGACGCUGAGGUGCGAAAGUGUGGGGAGCAAACAGGAUUAGAUACCCUGGUAGUCCACACCGUAAACGAUGAAUGCCAGUCGUCGGGUAGUAUACUAUUCGGUGACNCACCUGACCGC